RNAcentral lists this ribosomal RNA (460 nucleotides) under uncultured bacterium. Its description in RNAcentral is "partial 16S ribosomal RNA". It matches the Rfam family "Bacterial small subunit ribosomal RNA", at positions 338 to 795 of the family's 1533-position model. The record is from RNAcentral.
CCUACGGGAGGCAGCAGUGAGGAAUAUUGGUCAAUGGACGAGAGUCUGAACCAGCCAAGUAGCGUGAAGGAUGACUGCCCUAUGGGUUGUAAACUUCUUUUAUAUGGGAAUAAAAUGUUCCACGUGUGGGAUUUUGUAUGUACCAUAUGAAUAAGGAUCGGCUAACUCCGUGCCAGCAGCCGCGGUAAUACGGAGGAUCCGAGCGUUAUCCGGAUUUAUUGGGUUUAAAGGGAGCGUAGGUGGCUUGUUAAGUCAGUUGUGAAAGUUUGCGGCUCAACCGUAAAAUUGCAGUUGAAACUGGCAGUCUUGAGUACAGUAGAGGUGGGCUGAAUUCGUGGUGUAGCGGUGAAAUGCUUAGAUAUCACGAAGAACUCCGAUUGCGAAGGCAGUUCACUGGACUGCAACUGACACUGAGGCUCGAAAGUGUGGGUAUCAAACAGGAUUAGAUACCCCUGUAGUC